AUAUAUAAUCUAUGCCUUGUCUGUAGAAAUUAAAGUUAUAACGGCAAAUUCAAGUUAUGUAUAGUAAAAAAAAUCGCGAGUGCUAUGUGAUGACAUUAUGUUAUUGCUUUCAUCUCAGGAAGUUGGAGGGUCGAAGGUGUCUUGGCAAUGUCUCGUGCUUUUGGCAAUCGCAUGCUGAAGCAAUUUGGUGUGGCUGAACCUGAGAUUCAGGACCAAGAAGUUGACCGGCCAGGACUUUGAAUUGCUUGUGCGCUUUUCGGUGACGGGCUUUGCGAUGUCGUACCUAAUGAGGUAAAGCCGCCUUUUAGACGAUUAUCACUGCCUUUUGUUUAUCGCAAGUUCCUUUCAGGCCCUUAGAGCGUAAGUUUUUAAGCAUUGGUGAUCGGAUGACGCAUACAAUUGAAAUGUUAGAAUAUUUCGGGUGAAUAACUAAAUGAGCAUGUGUAGAGGAGACGUGCAUUAAAGUUCCGUAUCUGAUGUUUUUGAAUUAUUCUAUGUUUGGGAAUUGUGAUUAGGCUUGAUUGACGAUAUAUAUAACUAAGCUUUGUCAAA
Non-coding RNA from Erythranthe guttata (spotted monkey flower), 552 nucleotides. NCBI's taxonomy places the organism in Eukaryota, Viridiplantae, Streptophyta, Magnoliopsida, Lamiales, Phrymaceae. The record is from RefSeq and is a predicted model, not a curated record.